UUACCUAUUUUUUUCCUACCCUCUCUUUUUUAAAAUUGAUUAUGGUCAUCCUAUUCUUUUAGAUUUGACCAGUGUAUAGGAAGGGAUCUUUUUCUAUUAUCAGAUAUCAGACCCAAGUCUUGUGAUAGAUAUGAUAUACGGACAAAUGGGCAUCGGAAUACCAAUUGGAAUGAUUCACAAUCCAUAGCAUUACUCAUACUGAUACUAAGAAAGUCUUCUUUUUAAAGAUUUGAAGAUCCAAGAGAUUCCCUCUUCUUUUAAUACAAUACUUAAUUAAUACUUAAUACUUUAAAAUGCUUAAGACUUUGCCCUUUCUUUUUUUUUUUUUUGAAUUGACAUAGACCCAAGCCCUCUCGUAAAAUGAGUAUGAUGCAUCGCGAAUGGUCAGGG
RNAcentral lists this unclassified non-coding RNA (390 nucleotides) under Helianthemum almeriense. RNAcentral describes it as "trnL-trnF intergenic spacer". Lineage: Eukaryota; Viridiplantae; Streptophyta; Magnoliopsida; Malvales; Cistaceae. The record is from RNAcentral.